Molecule: ribosomal RNA, 253 nt
Filed under: uncultured bacterium
Lineage: Bacteria
Description: partial 16S ribosomal RNA
Rfam family: Bacterial small subunit ribosomal RNA
Source: RNAcentral
UACGUAGGGAGCAAGCGUUGUCCGGAAUCAUUGGGCGUAAAGCGCGCGUAGGCGGCCCUGUAAGUCCGCUGUGAAAGUCAAAGGCUCAACCUUUGAAUGCCGGUGGAUACUGCAGGGCUAGAGUCCGGAAGAGGCGAGUGGAAUUCCUGGUGUAGCGGUGGAAUGCGCAGAUAUCAGGAGGAACACCAAUAGCGAAGGCAGCUCGCUGGGACGGUACUGACGCUAAGGCGCGAAAGCGUGGGGAGCGAACAGG